This 256-nucleotide unclassified non-coding RNA is filed under the name fungal sp. Its description in RNAcentral is "partial internal transcribed spacer region". The stretch from base 1 to 46 matches the Rfam family "Eukaryotic small subunit ribosomal RNA", at positions 1786 to 1831 of the family's 1831-position model. Lineage: Eukaryota; Fungi. The record is from RNAcentral.
AAGUCGUAACAAGGUUUCCGUAGGUGAACCUGCGGAAGGAUCAUUACCAAAUCCAAUAACAAACCACUGUGAACUGUAUCCAUGUCUUUGGGGGUAGAACACUGUUGGAGUAAACUCCUAACAUUGUUCUCCCCCAAAAGGAAUAACUCACACCUUCGGGUUGUGCGUUUUCCUCUUUGAACACCUUAAAACUUUGAUGGAUUGUUUUUCAAACAACUAACAAAGACAACUUUUAACGGUGGAUCUCUUGGCUCGU